GAAUUCGCCCUUAGAGUUUGAUCCUGGCUCAGGACGAACGCUGGCGGCGCGCCUAACACAUGCAAGUCGAACGAGCGAGAGAGAGCUUGCUUUCUCAAGCGAGUGGCGAACGGGUGAGUAACGCGUGAGGAACCUGCCUCAGAGGGGGGCAACAGUUGGAAACGACUGCUAAUACCGCAUAAGCCCACGACCCGGCAUCGGGUAGAGGGAAAAGGAGCAAUCCGCUUUGAGAUGGCCUCGCGUCCGAUUAGCUAGUUGGUGAGGUAAUGGCCCACCAAGGCGACGAUCGGUAGCCGGACUGAGAGGUUGAACGGCCACAUUGGGACUGAGACACGGCCCAGACUCCUACGGGAGGCAGCAGUGGGGAAUAUUGCACAAUGGGGGAAACCCUGAUGCAGCGACGCCGCGUGGAGGAAGAAGGUCUUCGGAUUGUAAACUCCUGUUGUUGAGGAAGAUAAUGACGGUACUCAACAAGGAAGUGACGGCUAACUACGUGCCAGCAGCCGCGGUAAAACGUAGGUCACAAGCGUUGUCCGGAAUUACUGGGUGUAAAGGGAGCGCAGGCGGGAAGACAAGUUGGAAGUGAAAUCCAUGGGCUCAACCCAUGAACUGCUUUCAAAACUGUUUUUCUUGAGUAGUGCAGAGGUAGGCGGAAUUCCCGGUGUAGCGGUGGAAUGCGUAGAUAUCGGGAGGAACACCAGUGGCGAAGGCGGCCUACUGGGCACCAACUGACGCUGAGGCUCGAAAGUGUGGGUAGCAAACAGGAUUAGAUACCCUGGUAGUCCACACUGUAAACGAUGAAUUACUAGGUGUUGGAGGAUUGACCCCUUCAGUGCCGCAGUUAACACAAUAAGUAAUCCACCUGGGGAGUACGACCGCAAGGUUGAAACUCAAAGGAAUUGACGGGGGCCCGCACAAGCAGUGGAGUAUGUGGUUUAAUUCGACGCAACGCGAAGAACCUUACCAAGUCUUGACAUCCUGCGACGGACAUAGAAAUAUGUUUUUCCUUCGGGACGCAGAGACAGGUGGUGCAUGGUUGUCGUCAGCUCGUGUCGUGAGAUGUUGGGUUAAGUCCCGCAACGAGCGCAACCCUUAUGGUCAGUUACUACGCAAGAGGACUCUGGCCAGACUGCCGUUGACAAAACGGAGGAAGGUGGGGAUGACGUCAAAUCAUCAUGCCCUUUAUGACUUGGGCUACACACGUACUACAAUGGCGUUAAACAAAGAGAAGCAAGACCGCGAGGUGGAGCAAAACUCAGAAGCAACGUCCCAGUUCGGACUGCAGGCUGCAACUCGCCUGCACGAAGUCGGAAUUGCUAGUAAUCGCAGAUCAGCAUGCUGCGGUGAAUACGUUCCCGGGCCUUGUACACACCGCCCGUCA
Molecule: ribosomal RNA, 1381 nt
Filed under: uncultured bacterium
Lineage: Bacteria
Description: bacterial SSU rRNA
Rfam family: Bacterial small subunit ribosomal RNA
Source: RNAcentral